CAAUCGCCGCGGUAAUACAGAGGGUGCGAGCGUUAAUCGGAUUUACUGGGCGUAAAGCGUGCGUAGGCGGCUUCUUAAGUCGGAUGUGAAAUCCCUGAGCUUAACUUAGGAAUUGCAUUCGAUACUGGGAAGCUAGAGUAUGGGAGAGGAUGGUAGAAUUCCAGGUGUAGCGGUGAAAUGCGUAGAGAUCUGGAGGAAUACCGAUGGCGAAGGCAGCCAUCUGGCCUAAUACUGACGCUGAGGUACGAAAGCAUGGGGAGCAAACAGGAUUAGAUACCCCUGUAGUCCCUGUCUCUUAUAC
This 301-nucleotide ribosomal RNA is filed under the name uncultured bacterium. RNAcentral describes it as "partial 16S ribosomal RNA". It matches the Rfam family "Bacterial small subunit ribosomal RNA", at positions 509 to 807 of the family's 1533-position model. The record is from RNAcentral.